Molecule: non-coding RNA, 92 nt
Organism: Mycena leptocephala
Lineage: Eukaryota; Fungi; Basidiomycota; Agaricomycetes; Agaricales; Mycenaceae
Source: the annotation of a GenBank genome assembly
GCGUCCUUGGUGUAAUGGUAACACACAAUCUAGUCUUACGGCUGUGUGGCACAUCUAAGAUUGGGUCCGGGGUUCGACUCCCCGAGGGCGCA